GAUGAACGCUAGCGACAGGCCUAACACAUGCAAGUCGAGGGGUAACAGGGGCUUCGGCCCGCUGACGACCGGCGCACGGGUGAGUAACGCGUGGGUAACCUGCCCAUAAGAGGGGGAUAACAUCCGGAAACGGGUGCUAAUACCGCAUGGUUUUCUUGAUCGCAUGAUUGAGAAAGGAAGGCGGCCUUUGUGCUGUCGCUUAUGGAUGGACCCGCGGCGUAUUAGUUAGUUGGUGAGGUAACGGCUCACCAAGACGAUGAUACGUAGCCGACCUGAGAGGGUAUCGGCCACAUUGGGACU
This 300-nucleotide ribosomal RNA is filed under the name uncultured bacterium. Its description in RNAcentral is "bacterial SSU rRNA". It matches the Rfam family "Bacterial small subunit ribosomal RNA", at positions 28 to 320 of the family's 1533-position model. The record is from RNAcentral.